This is an RNA transcript of Dendrobium catenatum, 1755 nucleotides long. It is a transcript of the gene named probable protein phosphatase 2C 68, with no coding region annotated. The record is from RefSeq and is a predicted model, not a curated record. The transcript has 5 exons. NCBI's taxonomy places the organism in Eukaryota, Viridiplantae, Streptophyta, Magnoliopsida, Asparagales, Orchidaceae.
UUAAAUACUAACAAUUAUUAUUAUUUUUAUAUUAAAUUCAGUGACGGUUUUCCGGCGAGCUGUUCUGCCGAAAACCUAAUGAUGGUAGAGAACGACGGGCUUAGGAAUCAUCCUUCGACUGAAGGAUCUUUGAAUCUGGUCGUUCACCGGCUUCCAUGGCUGAUGCGUACGUAGACAUGUCCGGGGAAGACGAAUCCGAGUCUCAAUCCCGGCACGCUCGCCGCCGGAGGAUAGAGGUGAGGAGGAGUGCAACGUUUCCUGGCGAGGCGUCGACGUCGGCAGAGAGCCUUCUGCGGGCGGGAAAUAGGGAAGAUACUAGUAAUUCGGAGGUUUCAGGUGAUGAAAAGCGAAGAUCGACGGACAGCACAAACCUACCAUCCCUGGCACCUGCGCGAUUUUCCUUCGCCGACUCACUGUCGGUCUCCACAUCUUCUUCUGGCGAUGCUGUUGAUUCAACGGUUAUCGCGUCAUCGUCAGGCCGAAAGGUGGCAGUGAAUACCCCUAUUGCUUUCGGCUCUGUGUCACUGACAGGUCGCGCGAGGGAAAUGGAGGACGCAAUAUCCGUCCGACCCGGAUUCGUCCAGUUCCCGGAUGGCUGUUCUCCACUCCAUUUCUUCGGUGUCUUCGAUGGCCACGGAGGCUCUCACGUCUCGGCGCUGUGCAAGGAGAGGAUGCACUCUCUUCUCGCAGAAGAGUUAAUGAGAGUGCCGGCGCCUGAUGAACCUGUUGUGGCAGAGGAGACUAGGUGGAGAUCGGCGGUGGAGCGAUGCUUCGUGCGAAUGGAUCAGCUGGCUCUUUCAGCAUGCGCGUGCGGGCGGGUCGGUGAACCGCUUUGCCGGUGCGAUCGUUCCGGGAUCGAGUCGGAAAUCGUCGGCUCAACCGCCGUCGUCGCUGUAGUGGGCGGCGGCCGACUCCUCGUUGCUAACUGCGGCGAUUCGCGGGCGGUGCUCAGUCGCGGUGGCCGGACGGUGCCGCUCUCCAUCGACCAGAAGCCGGAUCGACCGGAUGAGCUGGCGAGAAUUGAAGCAGCAGGUGGGCGGGUGAUCUACGUGAAUGGUGCUCGGGUGCACGGAAUCCUGGCCAUGUCGCGAGCAUUAGGCGACAAGUACCUGAAACCAGUAGUAAUAUCUGCACCAGAGAUUGUUAUUUUAGAAAUAACACCUGAAGACGAAUGCUUGAUAAUCGCAAGUGAUGGGCUAUGGGACGUAAUUCCCAAUGAGCUUGCCUGCAACGUAGCAAGGCGUUGCUUGGCGGAGGGAAGUCCAAAGUUGGCUGAAAAAGAUCUCAACAACCCAACUUCCGCCGGAGAAGAAGCUCCGAUCAGUAAUGAAAAGGACCAGGCAGCACCCGAAGCUUGGUGCUCCAUGGCCGCUGCUUUACUUGCAAGGCUUGCGCUGGGAAGGAGAAGCACUGAUAACAUCAGUGUCAUUGUGGUUGAUUUGCGAAGAGGCUAACUGUUCUGUUUAUAUCGACUUGCUCAUUCCAAUUGUGCAGAAAAUGAAGCACAUUGAAGAGAUUUCAUUGAGUCUUUCAAAGUUGGGUUUUGAUGCAGCUCUCUGGAGAAGGGAAAAUCUCUGCCCUGUGAGCAAGGUCUGCAAGCAUGGUACAAGAAUUUGCAAAUGUUUAUGUUGUUAAUAAAUAAUUACUUUUACACUCAUGUCGGUUUCUGUUUUCGGAUAUGUUACCUUAGUAGAGUAGAUUAGACAUAAAGUUCUAGAACAUUAGAGACUCCUCUCUUUUUAAAAAUGAAUUUUU